ACAAUUACCAAUGCCAAUUGCAGGGAGCAAUAACGGAGGUCAUGUCCAAAACUAUAAUCCCACUCACUCAUUAAUUAUUAAAGCAAUCGAUCGGUGUUUAAUCGUUUCAACAUAUUAUAUUCGUUUGAUAGGCAGCCACGUAAGAAACAGGGAAAAGGGUGACGGGGCUGGUGCUGAUUGUUGCUGGGAGAUGUGGGAGUGGGGGGCAGGCAGUGGCGCUGCAGCACCAGGUGGAGGCGCUGGCCGCUGGUGAGGGUGGAGUAUAGUAGCCAUGGCAUCUAUGCCGUCAACAGCCACGAUCAAUGUGAAGCUUUUUUUGGGUCCAAAUGGCAAAAGAGAGAGAAAUAAAAAUCAUAUCCUAACUGCAAAUCCGAUCUUUAAAUGUACAAUCUACUGCUAUGUAAUGAAUAACGUAAUUAUUUC
RNAcentral lists this long non-coding RNA (423 nucleotides) under Gossypium barbadense (sea-island cotton). RNAcentral describes it as "long non-coding RNA (GBAR_LNC011352)". The record is from RNAcentral. Lineage: Eukaryota; Viridiplantae; Streptophyta; Magnoliopsida; Malvales; Malvaceae.